This 705-nucleotide ribosomal RNA is filed under the name Russula lilacea. RNAcentral's name for it is "eukaryotic LSU rRNA". The stretch from base 246 to 399 matches the Rfam family "5.8S ribosomal RNA". The record is from RNAcentral. Lineage: Eukaryota; Fungi; Basidiomycota; Agaricomycetes; Russulales; Russulaceae.
AAAAGUCGUAACAAGGUUUCCGUAGGUGAACCUGCGGAAGGAUCAUUAUCGUACAACGGAGGUGCAAGGGCUGUCGCUGACCUUUAAGAGGUUGUGACGCCCAAGUGCUCUCUCACACAUCCAUCUCACCCCUUGUGCAUCACCGCGUGGGUUUCCCCCCUUACGGGGAGGGCUCACGUCUUUACAUAAAACUUGAUAUAGUAUAGAAUGUUUUCAUUUUGUUUGCGGUCACACGCAAUAAAUACAACUUUCAACAACGGAUCUCUUGGCUCUCGCAUCGAUGAAGAACGCAGCGAAAUGCGAUACGUAAUGUGAAUUGCAGAAUUCAGUGAAUCAUCGAAUCUUUGAACGCACCUUGCGCCCCUUGGCAUUCCGAGGGGCACACCCGUUUGAGUGUCGUGAAAUCAUCAAAAACCAUUUCUUUUAUGGAAAAGGAUUUUGGAUUUGGAGGUUUGAUGCUUGCUCUUGUCUUUAAAAGCAAGCUCCUCUCAAAUGAAUUAGUGGGGUCUGCUUUGCUGAUCCUUGACGUGAUAAGAUGUUUCUACGUUUUGGACUUGGCAUCGUGCCUGCUUCUAACUGUCUUAUGGACAAAUGAUGGUGCUCCGGUCACUGCCAUUCAUAUUGGUGGAAGGCUGGACCCACAAAGAGACCCUCGACCUAAAUCGGGUGAGACUACCCGCUGAACUUAAGCAUAUCAAUAAGCGG